GCACAGCUACUCGGUGAGAUUUGAUUUGGCAGAGAGUGUGAAGCCUUGUACUCAUAUGAGAAAGCAGGCGAGAGAUCAGAGGGGGAAAAACUAAUAACUACAGGUACAACUAAGAAUGGUGCACAGCUUGGGAACGGUUGGAGGGAACAUGUAUCUGCAAAAUUGUCUGAAACACAAAAUUGAGAGGGGAUGUAAUUGUACCCUUGAUUGGAGCUAAUGAAGUCAGAAGGUAGUACCAAAUUGCCAGUCCAUGGUAUCCGCAAAGCUUUUCUCCAGCACCACAUUCCAAAGGAGUUGAUUUUUCUCUUAUCCGCUUUUUUCACUGUCCAAGUUGGGAUCUACUUGAAGGCAGUCCAUUUCCAUUUUCUUUCCCCCAAAAAUACUUGUGCAUGAUUUGCUGAUGUAGAUAUCCUGGUGAAAUUUUAGCAGUUGAAUUUCAUUGGGAAAGGCAUCCAGCUUGGAAGAAAAUUGGCUACAUAGGAACACAAGAAGACACCAUAGUAUAUGGGGAAAAUGGCUAAACCUCCAACAGACAACAUAAGGGCACACCUCUUCCCCAUUUCCAGUCAGCACAUCUGUGGCUUCUGAGCUUUGAUUUAGACUGUAUGCAAUAGACUCCUGGUUUUCUGCUUUUCCCUUGCAUAUCUGUACAUAUACCAGAGGAAUGCUUCAUACUUUUUGAAGGGAGAAGGCAUAUCAAGAUACACUAGAUUACCAAGGAGCUGUAGUGGUCAUAGUUCCCCAUGAUGCAUCUGUCAUGCGUCUUCUGAGAUGUGUAACUUUUGAGAUGUAAUUAGAGACUCAUGUUGUGCUGGUACAUAAAGUCUGCAUUG
Long non-coding RNA from Rhineura floridana, 833 nucleotides. RefSeq lists it as uncharacterized. The record is from RefSeq and is a predicted model, not a curated record. Lineage: Eukaryota; Metazoa; Chordata; Lepidosauria; Squamata; Rhineuridae. The transcript has 4 exons.